Long non-coding RNA from Pteronotus mesoamericanus, 526 nucleotides. RefSeq lists it as uncharacterized. The record is from RefSeq and is a predicted model, not a curated record. The transcript has 3 exons. NCBI's taxonomy places the organism in Eukaryota, Metazoa, Chordata, Mammalia, Chiroptera, Mormoopidae.
UUCUUUUCUCCCUGGACUAGGUAGAGAACCCGCUCCGAUUGCAGCAAGGACGCCAUCUUGGAGAGGGAGGUGUCAACGACGCGCCUGCCGCAUCACGUGACCCGAGAGCCUGCGUUUUCCUCGCCGCCCGCCCUACGUUUUUCAACGUAGACUUUGACAUGGAGAAAAUGAGGCCCAGGGAGUCAAAGGAAAACGUCCACAGGUUUUCUGACUCUUGGUACCAUAUGCUGUUCUCUGAUUCCAUAAAUGCAGUUGCCUGCACGCCACGUCAGUCAAUUCAUACCCACAACCAAAGAAGGAAAACUGAAAGGGGAAGGGACUUACCCAAGGCGACCAAGGAAGGUGAUCUAGGAUUUGAACUCGGGUCUUCAUUUCAAGUUCACUGCCUUCACAGACUUGGCCGGAUCUCCAUCUCGACACAAUUCACCACCAAACCUCAAGGCUCACUCUUAGGAGACCACCAGUGUAAUGCUUAUUGAACUGAAAAAAAUAGAACUGAAGACUGAAUUCCUAUUAACUCAGUAGC